RNAcentral lists this ribosomal RNA (435 nucleotides) under uncultured bacterium. RNAcentral describes it as "partial 16S ribosomal RNA". It matches the Rfam family "Bacterial small subunit ribosomal RNA", at positions 29 to 507 of the family's 1533-position model. The record is from RNAcentral.
AGCGAACGCUGGCGGCAGGCUUAACACAUGCAAGUCGAGCGGGCAUCUUCGGAUGUCAUCGGCAGACGGGUUGGUAACACGGUGGAACGUACCCGUCUGUUCGGAACAACUCUGGGAAACUGGUGCUAAUACCUGAGACGCCCUUAUGGGGGGAGGUUUACUGCCGAAGUAUCGGCCCGCGUCUGAUUAGCGAGUUGGUGGGGUAACCGCCUACCAAGGCGACGAUCAGUAUCUGGUCUGAGAAGAUGCUCAGCCACACUGGGACUGAGACCCGGACCAGACUCCUACGGGAGGCAGCAGUGGGGAACAUUAGACAAUGAGCGCAAGUCUGACCAAGCCAUGCCGCGUGAGUGAUGAAGGCCUUAGGGUUGCACAGCUCCCUUGUACGGGACGAUAAUGACGGUAACGGAAGAAUAAGCCCCGGCUAACUUCGUG